CCAAACUGUUGCCUCGGCGGGGUCACGCCCCGGGUGCGUAAAAGCCCCGGAACCAGGCGCCCGCCGGAGGAACCAACCAAACUCUUUCUGUAGUCCCCUCGCGGACGUAUUUCUUACAGCUCUGAGCAAAAAUUCAAAAUGAAUCAAAACUUUCAACAACGGAUCUCUUGGUUCUGGCAUCGAUGAAGAACGCAGCGAAAUGCGAUAAGUAAUGUGAAUUGCAGAAUUCAGUGAAUCAUCGAAUCUUUGAACGCACAUUGCGCCCGCCAGUAUUCUGGCGGGCAUGCCUGUCCGAGCGUCAUUUCAACCCUCGAACCCCUCCGGGGGAUCGGCGUUGGGGAUCGGGACCCCUCACCGGGUGCCGGCCCUGAAAUACAGUGGCGGUCUCGCCGCAGCCUCUCCUGCGCAGUAGUUUGCACAACUCGCACCGGGAGCGCGGCGCGUCCACGUCCGUAAAACACCCAACUUCUGAAAUGUUGACCUCGGAUCAGGUAGGAAUACCCGCUGAACUUAAGCAUAUCAAUAGCCGGAGGAA
Molecule: ribosomal RNA, 535 nt
Filed under: Trichoderma hamatum
Lineage: Eukaryota; Fungi; Ascomycota; Sordariomycetes; Hypocreales; Hypocreaceae
Description: eukaryotic LSU rRNA
Rfam family: 5.8S ribosomal RNA (bases 148-301)
Source: RNAcentral